Molecule: ribosomal RNA, 432 nt
Filed under: uncultured eukaryote
Lineage: Eukaryota
Description: bacterial SSU rRNA
Rfam family: Eukaryotic small subunit ribosomal RNA
Source: RNAcentral
CAAUAGCGUAUAUUAAAGUUGUUGCGGUUAAAAAGCUCGUAGUUGGAUCUCUGUUAGAGACGGCCGGUCCGCCUUUUGGGCGUGUAUCUGGUUCGGCUUUGGCAUCCUCUUGGGGAACGUACUGCGCUUGAUUGCGUGGUGCGGAAUUCAAGACUUUUACUUUGAGGAAAUUGGAGUGUUUACAGCAGGCAAACGCCCUGAACACAUUAGCAUGGAAUAAUAAUAUAGGGCCUCGGUUCUAUUUUGUUGGUUUCUAGAACUGAGGUAAUGAUUAAUAGGGAUAAUUGGGGGCGAUUCGUAUUAACGCGUCAGAGGUGGAAAUUACUUGGUAUUUGUUUAAAGAACGGACGUACUGCGAAAGCAUUUGUCCAAGGAUGUUUUCUAUUGAUCAAGAACGAAAGUUAAGGGGAGUCGAAGAGGAUUAGAUACCAU